This 217-nucleotide non-coding RNA is filed under the name Ipomoea nil (Japanese morning glory). RNAcentral describes it as "Eukaryotic small subunit ribosomal RNA". It matches the Rfam family "Eukaryotic small subunit ribosomal RNA", at positions 1616 to 1831 of the family's 1831-position model. Lineage: Eukaryota; Viridiplantae; Streptophyta; Magnoliopsida; Solanales; Convolvulaceae. The record is from Rfam by way of RNAcentral.
AGUAAGCGCGAGUCAUCAGCUCGCGUUGACUACGUCCCUGCCCUUGUACACACCGCCCGUCGCUCUACGAUUGAAUGAUCCGGUGAAGUGUUCGGAUCGCGGCGACGUGGGCGGUUCGCUGCCCGCGACGUCGCGAGAAGUCCACUGAACCUUAUCAUUUAGAGGAAGGAGAAGUCGUAACAAGGUUUCCGUAGGUGAACCUGCGGAAGGAUCAUUG